CCAGCUCUCCCCUGGCGCAUCCCCAUCAUUUCCUCCCUCGUGCGCUCCCUCUCGAACCUUCCAAAACGCCCGAACCCUAGCGAGCUCGGAACCCUAGCAGCGCGCGGAUCUCGGCUCGGCGCCCCCACCCGCGCCAUGGACGAGGACUUCGAGAUGCCCCCGGCCGGCGCCGACGAGAUGAUGGGCGACGACGAGAUGGGCGACUUCGGCGGCGACGAGGGCCCGGUCAUGAAGGUGGGCGAGGAGAAGGAGCUCGGGAAGCAGGGGCUCAAGAAGAAGCUGCUCAAGGAGGGCGAGGGCUGGGAGACGCCCGAGGUCGGCGACGAGGUCGAAGUGCAUUACACGGGUACACUCCUUGAUGGAACAAAGUUUGAUUCAAGCCGUGAUCGUGGAGAUCCCUUCAAGUUCAAGCUGGGACAAGUGCAGAGAACAAAGAUGUCAGACGCAGUAAAGAUUAAAGAAGAAGUCCCACCAGGAAAAGUCUCAGCUGAAGCCACUUGUAAGUCUCAACCAAAUGUUGGAAGAGAAAAGGGCAAAGGAAAAUCUGUAUCUUUUGGUCUGUCAGAUGCUUCUGGGGUUGUUACUUCUACAGUUACCAAUUCUGAGAUGGGUAACUUCAGCAAUUCCUGUAAUGACAAAUUAACUGAUGAAAACUUACGGAACUUGUCUCAGCAGACGGUUGAAAAGGAACAUAAUGAUAAUGAGAGCUGGCACCAUGAGGGGGAACCAUUAGAUCAUGCUGUUGAAGAACUACCAAAAUCGGGUAUUGGAGAAAACAGAUCAUCUAUGAAACUACGGAGCAGGAAAAAGUCACAGAAAGUUGGGACACCUAAGCAUACAGAUGACUAUUUUGAUGAAGACUCUGUUGAACCUUCAUUAGUUGAAGAAGAUAAUGAUAGUGGUGAUGAUUACACUGCCGGUACUAAUCGGAAGGUUAGGAAAAAAUCAAGGGAUGAUGUGGAAGAGCCACAGCAGCAAAAUGUCCAAAAAGAUAAAAGCCAGGUAUCUUCACGGGGUCGCAAGAGAACCUUGAAAGAUGCAUCGGCAGAAAAACCUGAGAAGAAGCUUACCCAUAGAAUUCGUCAGAGGAGAGCGAAAGAGGUUAAGACUUUACUGGAAAAACCUCAUGAGAUAAAUCCCAUGAAGCUAAGUGCAGCACACCUGAGGUUGUUACAAGAGGCCAGAGAGCGUGUUAAUGCAAAAGAGAAUCCAUCUGGGCCAUCCUCUAAUACAAGCAGCUUUCAAUUUCAUGAUAUGGAUGAUUUGGACUAUGGAGAUGAGGAAGCAAGGAACUUCGACAAUGACAGAACACAGAACCAUGUACAAGAUACAAAAAAAUUGAACUACCAUUCCUACAUGAACAAACAAACUCGGGGCAAAUGGUCAAAAUCUGAUACUGAUGUGUUUUAUCAGGGGCUUCAACAAUUUGGUAGCGAUUUUGCAAUGAUACAGCAAUUACUCCCUGAUAAGACCCGUCAGCAGGUGCGGGCAAAAUUUAAAACCGAGGAGAAAAAAAAUCCGUUGCUAGUCCAUGAUGCUAUAAUUCAUCGCUCAGGAGAUAAUUUGUAUUUCAAAAAGGUAAUUAAGAAUCUCAACAUUGAAGAUGUCGCACAGCAAGAGAUUAACAAUACUCAUAAACAAGAUGGCGCAUCAAGUGAACCUGGAAAAGAGGAUGCACUGGAUGAUUGCAUCCAUGAGGAAGAUGAUUCGAAUUGGUUGGAUGAAGAGCCCGGCGUACAAAAGCCUGAAGAGCACGCUUCUGGAAAUGAUGACGAUGGUGAUCUUGGUGAUGUUUUUGAUUGGUACUAGCACGAUAAUCACGACAGAAAUUAGGAUCAUGAUCUAAUUCUGCUUACUUUGUGAGAAGAAUGAUUUGUCCAUGCAUGUCUGAGCACCUUCCCCCCUUGGGCAAAUCUAUUUAUCAUGCGCGCGAGUAGGCUUGCGCAAGUCGCAGAAGGACGCCGUUGUUUGGCUUCCUUGUUGACCCGGCGGCGGCCGGAGUUAGGGCCCUUUGGGGUGGUGGGGGUUGCUGGGGUCCGGUGGCCACUGGCAACCUCAGAAGAGGGGGGUGGGGGUGGUAGGGAAGACCGGUGGUGGCAGGUUGCGGGGCGGCGGCGGACGGCGGCGGGGAUGCCGCUGGCCGAGGGCGGCGGUUUGACAACUAGUGGGCUAGGGACUGAGCGGGGGCGUAGCGUUCACUCGGGUGGGGAUGGCAUCGGGCAGUGGAUGCGGCCGCAGGAGCCGCCAAAGAUGGGGAAGAUGGCUGGGGCGGGGGCGAGCGGCGGGGGAUCCUUCGGCGAUGGCUCAGCUCGCACUCACGUGCGUGGGGAAUAGACGCCCCCCUUCCCCCUUUGUUUCUCCAAUAGCAUCCUCUGUUGCUGUGUUUUCAAUAAAUGACCAAUGCCGCUAGAUGUGCUUGUAGAAUUGGUACCAUGAUGUUUAUUAUCAGUUGAUAUUUGAUUGAUAAUUGCUAGGAACAUUGAUUGAUACUUGGUGGCCUAACAAGUAAACGGAUGCAUAACUAUGGUCUGCAAUUAUUAAAACUGUUAAAAAGAAAGAAAAUACGCUCAGUCCACAUUUGAAGGCUGUGCUGCAGUCCUUAGGCUCCGUUGGGUUCAGUGUUUUGGGGCUGCUUUUGCGUUGAAAACGCAUAAGCUGAACCAAAGGGGUCCAACACCGCAGCACCUUUUCUCAACGCGGCUGCGUUUGCGCGUACAAAUGGAAUUCU
This is an RNA transcript of Panicum hallii, 2728 nucleotides long. It is a transcript of the gene named transcription factor TFIIIB component B''-like, with no coding region annotated. The record is from RefSeq and is a predicted model, not a curated record. Lineage: Eukaryota; Viridiplantae; Streptophyta; Magnoliopsida; Poales; Poaceae. The transcript is spliced from 13 exons.